This 72-nucleotide transfer RNA is filed under the name Dendrothele bispora CBS 962.96. RNAcentral describes it as "Dendrothele bispora (strain CBS 962.96) tRNA". It matches the Rfam family "tRNA". From Rfam's summary of the family: Transfer RNA (tRNA) molecules are approximately 80 nucleotides in length. Their secondary structure includes four short double-helical elements and three loops (D, anti-codon, and T loops). Further hydrogen bonds mediate the characteristic L-shaped molecular structure. tRNAs have two regions of fundamental functional importance: the anti-codon, which is responsible for specific mRNA codon recognition, and the 3' end, to which the tRNAs corresponding amino acid is attached (by aminoacyl-tRNA synthetases). tRNAs cope with the degeneracy of the genetic code in two manners: having more than one tRNA (with a specific anti-codon) for a particular amino acid; and 'wobble' base-pairing, i.e. permitting non-standard base-pairing at the 3rd anti-codon position. The record is from Rfam by way of RNAcentral. Lineage: Eukaryota; Fungi; Basidiomycota; Agaricomycetes; Agaricales.
GGGCGCCUGGCGAAAUGGCAUCGCGUCUGACUACGAAUCAGGAGAUUGCAGGUUCGACCCCUGCGGUGGUCA